Molecule: long non-coding RNA, 3803 nt
Filed under: Canis lupus familiaris (dog)
Lineage: Eukaryota; Metazoa; Chordata; Mammalia; Carnivora; Canidae
Description: lncRNA (ENSCAFG00000054832.1)
Source: RNAcentral
UUUUUUUUUUUAAUUUUUAUUUUAUUUAUGAUAGUCACAGAGAGAGAGAGAGAGAGGCAGAGACACAGGCAGAGGGAGAAGCAGGCUCCAUGCCCCGGGAGCCGGACGUGGGAUUCGAUCCCGUGUCUCCAGGAUCGCGCCCUGGGCCAAAGGCAGGCGCCAAACCGCUGCACCACCCAGGGAUCACUCGGUUUAUUGUUAAUUAAAUGUUUUGCUUCAUCAAUAAAAUGAGUAAGAGCAACUUAGCACUGUUUACAGAAUUCAUUGAUCAAAGCCUUUUAUUUCAUUGUCAGGUUCCUGUGUGGGGAAACAUAACUGCAAUCCUACUGUAAAUCUAAAGCUGUUGGGAUUCUUUGGAGUCACAGCAUCAUGGCCCAUCCAUGACAGAUGGUUCAACAAUGAUCAUGAAUGAGAUUCUGCUCAGUGGGAACACCACAGUGUUAAUGAAGUCCUCAUGGAUUUAUUCUCUCGACUGCCAUUAUUCACUUACAGACACUUUUCUAGUGUACAUGUACCAUAUAAAACUCUUCUAAUGGAAACAUCUCUCUCUGUUCCCCACUUUAAAUGGACAUCUUGACUUCUAUUCUCUAAUCUCAAUUAUAGUAGUAGUAAUCAUGUAUAUUAUUGACUGUAAACUAGGACUUGGGCUAUGUGAUUUAUCUACAUUACUCAUUCAUUGUUUGCAAAUGAGGAAACAGAAACUAACCUUCCCAAGGUCAUUUGGGGAAGGCAAGAGAAGCAUUUGGGCGCAGGUAUGUUGACUCUGAUAAUGUAUAUUAUCAGGGAUGUGCUUUUAUCUAGUGUAACUACUGCCUCUAAUAGUAAAAGUCAAUAUUGGGAAUAGAGAACUCCAUUGGCAAUAUUUAGUUUAAUUAUAAGAAGAUGUAGCACACAUUUGUGAUAUAAAUAUUCAGUAAUGAUGCUAUCAUUCUGGAAAUGAUAGGAAAAAGGACUAUUUCUUGAUUGUAUUCAUUUUUAAAUCUGGCAUACAGUGGAUACUUCACAUACUAUAAAACACUUAAUCCUCAUACUAUCACUGAAAAGUAACUAUUCUUAUUCUCAUUUUACAGUUGAAGUCAUUCAGGCUUAGGAUGGCUAAGUAACUUUUGCAAAUUCACAGAGAAAGUAAGUAGCUGAAUUCUAGUCCAGGUGCUGGAUGCUACACCAUGCUGCCAGUGUGACUUUAUAAAUCCAUCAUUAAGAUUGCUUUUCACACUAAGUAUUUGUGUACAAAACAUCUUUAUAAUAUAUUCUUUAACACGCAUAUUCUCUAUCUUGUAUUAAGGACCAGAAUCAAAAUAAUCAAAAUUUCUCCAAAGAAGUAAAAUCUUCAGAGGAUCUAUCACUGAUUAUAGACCUUUUAAAAAAAGAUUUGUUUGGCGGGGGGCACAAGCUGAGGGGAGAAGCAGAGUGAGAGAGAGAAGCAGACUCCCCACUGAACAGGGAGCCUGAUGCAGGGCUGGAUCCCAGGGACCCUGAGAUCAUAACCUGUGCCAAAGGCAGAGACUUAACCAACUGAGCCACCCAUGUGCCCCAAUUAUAGACUGUUAAUAGCUGAAAAGGAUAUUAGGGUUUAUAGAGUGCAACCCACUUAAUCUUAAUGAUGAGGAAACUGAGAAGUCCAAGUUUACACAACCUCUGACUAGUGGUGAGACUGUGAACAAUUCUCCAAAAUGGCAGCUAAAAUUUAAUUUGUCCAAAAACCAUGCCAAUUGUGAAGAUAAAAUAAAUAAAACAAAUAGCACUAUGUGUAGCAUAAUAUUAGCUAGAUUAUUAUUAUCAUUGUUACCAACAUGACUAGAUUAACAUUGGGGGAUUGAGUCAAUGGCCGGCUAACUUGGCCCACUUUAUACCCAUACCCUUGUGGUCUCUGUGUUCAUUGUGCAACAAUGACAUUCUCCACUUGCUGAAUGAUUUCUCUGGUCACAAUCACCAUUUAUUCACUUAUUGUAUAAGUUCUUGUCUGAUUUAGAAUAAACACAUAAUUAAAAUGUUUCAUAAAUUAAAAAAAAAAUAUGUCAAGAAACUUUGGACUUGGCAAUACAUAAGUUACUCAGAAAGUGAAUAGAGGGGCACCGGGGUGGCUCAGCGGUUGAGUGUCUGCCUUUGGCUCAGGGCGUGAUCCCAGGGUCCUGAGAUUGAGUCCCAGAUCAGACUUCCUAUGGGGAGCCUGCUUCUCCCUCUGCCUGUGUCUCUGCUUCUCUCUCAGUCUGUCUCAUGAAUAAAUAAAUAAAAUCUUUUUUUUUAAAGUGAAUAUAAAGCCUAGAGUAGGGUGACAAUAGUAUCCAGUUUGCCUGCAGAGGCCCCAAUGUAUGCUUGGCAACUUAGCUUUACUAUCAAUAGCAUCCCAUUUUACCCUCAAAAGUGGCCAAACUUGGAUGAUGAAUUGUAUGGUCUAAGCACUUCAUUUCCAAAGUGUUUAAAAAUUUAAAUAUAAAGCUAUUUUAGACAUGAUAGCAAAUAUUUACAAAUGUGAUAUAUAUAUAUAUGUGAUAUAUAUAGCUAUAAUCCACAAGCUGUACCUGCCCUUCACUGCAGAUAGGACAAUAAGGAAUUCCCUGUGUUCACAGGAGAAAAUCCAACUGUUUUCCAGAUAAGCAAGGUGCUGUCUUCCAGAGGAACUAGAUAAUUUCAUGUUAAUUUUUAGUUUCUCCAGAAGAUAAGAACAUUACCCACGUUAACAACAAAAAUGGUAAAUUGAAGCAAAACACCUCCUUCUGUAUGCCUAGCUGCAGGAAACACUCAAACCCUCCUGGACUAUCCAUCCUUGGAGGUCCAUAUACCUGGGUCUGUGCAAUAAGCUAGGCCUUCCAUUGCAUGACUCGGCUAUUGCCUGGAGCUCCAACAUUGCAUGUUGUUGUUAAUGCAAAUAAUAACAUACACGAGAGACAAUAUUUCCAUCAUUACAGAAAGGACAUGUUAUGUCCUCCAGUGAAUAUUGCAGGACCCUCUAACCAACCAUGAGGCAGCAACUCCAAAGUCAUUGUCAUAAACAUAGUUAGGUUCUGAAUAAUGCUUGGGCUAUAACAUAUAAUUAAUGUGACCAACUGGCAGCAGAAUGCUAUUCAUUUCCAACCUAACAGAGGCUUAAAGGGACAUAUCCUAAUGGAAUAAUCCUGUCUUUGUCAAGAAUAUUCUGGUUGUGAGUAAUAGAAAUCCACUGGUGUUAAAAAAUUUAGUGUAAGGUUGACAUGAGGUAAGCAUCAUACACAUCAGAAGCCACAAAUGCGAUUGGAUCUCUUCAUAAGGUGGAACAGCUCUCAGGCACUAAGUGAGCUACCAUCUCUGGAAUAAAGUGGGCCAUCACUGCUUUUUCUCUACUUCUCUACAUAAAUCUGCUUCAUUCUCUGACUUUCUUCUGUAUAUUAGCAUUCUCUGCUGAUUUAUUUGUAUACAGAGCUCCCCAAAAGGCAUCCCCAUUGUAGCUUUCUAUCACCUCCUAGCUCAAGUACCCAGCCCUCUGGAUUCCAAUUCUAAAUUCCUGGGAGGAAGCAAUCUGACUGGCCCAUGAGGGAGGCAGGAUGUAUCAGUGAGCUAUGACCAAAGAGAACUUAAACAAAUAAAUAUAAACAUGGAUCUUAAGGAGCCUGACUUGAGCAAACAUUCCCAAAGAAAUCUACAUAUAGGUAUAAAAUGGUUGUUUGCAUUUUUACUCUAUUUCUCUAAUACCAAGGAAGUCUAUUUUCUGUUUUUCCCAAAUACAUUUGGAAACAAAUUGGUCAUACAUGGGCACAGGAAUACAUCAUGUUGUGAGUAAAAAGUAAUGCAAUUUCAGCAUACUCAACUGCUUCUGAAACUUCUGU